AGUGAACGCUGGCGGUAGGCCUAACACAUGCAAGUCGAACGGCAGCACAGUAAGAGCUUGCUCUUACGGGUGGCGAGUGGCGGACGGGUGAGGAAUACAUCGGAAUCUACUUUUUCGUGGGGGAUAACGUAGGGAAACUUACGCUAAUACCGCAUACGACCUACGGGUGAAAGCAGGGGAUCUUCGGACCUUGCGCGAUUGAAUGAGCCGCUGUCGGAUUAGCUAGUUGGCGGGGUAAAGGCCCACCAAGGCGACGAUCCGUAGCUGGUCUGAGAGGAUGAUCAGCCACACUGGAACUGAGACACGGUCCAGACUCCUACGGGAGGCAGCAGUGGGGAAUAUUGGACAAUGGGCGCAAGCCUGAUCCAGCCGUACCGCGUGGGUGAAGAAGGCCUUCGGGUUGUAAAGCCCUUUUGUUGGGAAAGAAAAGCAGCAGGUUAAUACCCCGCUGUUCUGACGGUACCCAAAGAAUAAGCACCGGCUAACUUCGUG
Molecule: ribosomal RNA, 492 nt
Filed under: uncultured bacterium
Lineage: Bacteria
Description: partial 16S ribosomal RNA
Rfam family: Bacterial small subunit ribosomal RNA
Source: RNAcentral